GGGCUGGUAGAUCAGUCUGGUAUGAUCGCUGCCUUGGCAGGGCAGAAGCCGGGGGUUCAAAUCCCUCCCAGUCCA
Molecule: transfer RNA, 75 nt
Filed under: Candidatus Bathyarchaeota archaeon
Lineage: Archaea; Thermoproteati; Candidatus Bathyarchaeota
Description: tRNA-Ala
Rfam family: tRNA
About the family: Transfer RNA (tRNA) molecules are approximately 80 nucleotides in length.
Source: RNAcentral